This 468-nucleotide ribosomal RNA is filed under the name uncultured bacterium. Its description in RNAcentral is "partial 16S ribosomal RNA". It matches the Rfam family "Bacterial small subunit ribosomal RNA", at positions 28 to 507 of the family's 1533-position model. The record is from RNAcentral.
GACGAACGCUGGCGGCGUGCUUAACACAUGCAAGUCGAACGGAAAGGCCCUGCUUUUGUGGGGUGCUCGAGUGGCGAACGGGUGAGUAACACGUGAGUAACCUGCCCUUGACUUUGGGAUAACUUCAGGAAACUGGGGCUAAUAUCGGAUAGGAGCUCCUGCUGCAUGGUGGGGGUUGGAAAGUUUCGGCGGUUGGGGAUGGACUCGCGGCUUAUCAGCUUGUUGGUGGGGUAGUGGCUUACCAAGGCUUUGACGGGUAGCCGGCCUGAGAGGGUGACCGGCCACAUUGGGACUGCGAUACGGCCCAGACUCCUACGGGAGGCAGUAGUGGGGAAUAUUGCACAAUGGGCGGACGCCUGAUGCAGCAACGCCGCGUGCGGGAUGCCGGCCUUCGGGUUGUAAACCGCUUUCGCCUGUGACGAAGCGGGAGUGACGGUAAUGGGUAAAGAAGCACCGGCUAACUACGUG